GCUUCCUGUGGAGGGAAAAUGUGAGACUCUGGUAAGCAGAUCCGGGGAAGCUUGAGAGUGUGAAAUUGACACGGAGGGAUGUGCAAGUUUCAGAGAACAGUGCAAGCAGUUCAUUGGUUUGGGCACAGUCUAAAACUGAGAGCAGGCGGUUAUUCAGGGUUGUGGACCCCAAAAGACCACAGAAGGGUAUUUUCAGCAUGCAUUAAAUACCCACUAAUUACCUACCAAUGUGCUGGGUACCAUCGCUGUAACACAAAAAGCAGUCAAGCCCACUGGCAAUUUAGGAAAUCAUUGCUACUGAAUUAGCUACAGGAAAAGUAAGUUAUCUUUGUGUUAAAAUUCAAAACCUCCCCUAAAUAAAAAGCAGGGAAAACCCCGAGUUCUUCUGAAUCUUCACAUAAUGUUGUUUCCCAUGGCCCCCCCCCCCUUUUUUUUUUUUGGUCAUGUGUAUUCAUAGAAAUGUCUUACUCUGAGUUUUUACUCAGUUUUUAACUUAACUGUCCCCAGCAGCAUGGCUUCAGAAACUCACCUUCCCAGACCUCUCCAAGGCAACCAAUGGCUUUGGUGAGGCAACACAGAAAGAAAACCUGGGGACAAAGGCAUUUUUGUCCUAUGUAACAAUCAGUAUUCAUUUUUAAAUGUCAAAGGAAGACAAGACAAAGCAGGCAUAUCUAGAAAAAAAUUACUUAAUAUUCCAAAGUGGCUGAUUUUGCAUAUCACAAAAUAGGACCAGGUCAGAUUCAGGGGUUACUUGCAAUAAUUCUGUAAUUAAAAGGCAUACUAGAAUUUAAUGGAGAAAACGUAAUUUUUAGUAUCCAAUAACAAAUUAACUUACUUUUGCAUCCUAAUUAUGGUACAGCACAAAACAAGGAAAAGAACAAUAUUAAACUACAAAUCCAUACGUUAGAUUUAAUUGCAUGUAAAGCAGUACAUGGAAUAAUCUUAAGUAAAUUAAACGCUAGUCUGUUUCCGUAUUUGGAUAGUACUUACCUUCAUAUAGAGAUUUGAGGGAGAGAAGGCUUAGUGCCCGACUUCUAGAAAGUGCUCAAAAAAAUGUCAACCGAUAACAUUACACAAAUGAGACCUAACUGAAGGUAUUUAGCAUUUAGUACUAAAUAAAGUACUAUAAAUCAACUCUGCAUAUAAAGUUUUUAUGGUAACCUUUUAGUAGGUGUGUUUACUAAUGAAAAAUGGGUAAAAAAUCAGCUUUGGUUAAAGAAAAAAAUUCUGAAGUAUUCUUGCCCUUGCCACCCCUCCCCCCAACGAAACCUCAGCUUAACCAGGCUACACAUCAAAAUAUAUAUGGUGGAUAAGCAAACAAGUUAAACAGCGCCACAAGAUUACAACCCGCUGGAGGACAUUCUACAACAUAGGUGACUCAGUUUUAAAAAAAUGGCAAGGAAAAAAAGCAGACGAGUUGUUAAAGAUGAAAAGACUUAAAAGACAUCAACCAGAUACAACGUGAGCCUUGUUGGAAAUCUGGUUCUAACCAAGUAUAGAAAUGCAUUUUCAACAAUUAGGUGAAAUUGAACCAGGAACAAGUAUUAGGAAUUACUGUCAAUUUUGGGGGCGGGGGGAGGACUGUGGUACUUCUUUCUCCUGGUGAUACAUAUUGAAGGAUUAAAGAUGAAAUAAGAGGUCUAGGGCUUGCUCUAAAAUACUGAGGCAAAAAUGGGGGUGGGGGGAAAUGGAUGACGAAACAGGCAUAGUACUAAGAGUACUGAGCUGGUGGUUGCUGAAGCUGAGUGAUGUGCACACAAAGGUUCUCUUUUAUUUGCAGGUCUCAGAGUUUUCACGAUACAGUUUAAAGAAAGUCUAAUGGAAAGAUGCAACAGUCCCAAGAAUCAUGUACCAUUCUUCACUUAUCCAUGUAAGAAUGACUCCCAUUCUAUUCCCCAGAGCUGGUCAGACUUCCCCUAUGUCCUUACUGCCUGUAAUCCUAUAUGGCAUUUCCUGAAGAGAACCAUGUUACGUGUCCCAUAUGCAUUAUUUAAAAUAUAUGUCCUUUCCAAAAGGCCUACUUAAAAGCAAUCAGUUACAUAUUUGAUUCCUUGAGACUUGUACUAUUUGUACAUCAGUUUUUUUUUUUUUUUUUACAAAUUGUGUUCAUAAUAUAAAAUGUAAUUUUGCCAUGUUCACACUGAAAUUGUAGCUCAAAAUUACCUAGAAAAACUAUUCUCUAAAGUAAUCAAAUUCAUAGAAACAAAGUAGAAUGGUGGUUACCAAGGGCUGAGGGGAGGGAUGGGGAGUUGUUUAAUGGCUACAGUUUCAGUAUGACAGGAUGAAAAAUUUCUGGACAUCAGCUGCACAACGUGAAUAUACUUAACAGUCCUGAACUGUACAUUGAACAGAAUUUGCCAGCUUAACCAUUUUUAUGUUUUUUAAAUAUGUUUAAUAAAAUUACCUGGAA
This is a long non-coding RNA of Lynx canadensis (Canada lynx), 2410 nucleotides long. RefSeq lists it as uncharacterized. The record is from RefSeq and is a predicted model, not a curated record. Lineage: Eukaryota; Metazoa; Chordata; Mammalia; Carnivora; Felidae. The transcript has 2 exons.